This is a long non-coding RNA of Tetranychus urticae (two-spotted spider mite), 892 nucleotides long. RefSeq lists it as uncharacterized. Lineage: Eukaryota; Metazoa; Arthropoda; Arachnida; Trombidiformes; Tetranychidae. The record is from RefSeq and is a predicted model, not a curated record.
AAACGGUCAACUAGGAAAGUUGGACGAUCUUUUGAUGUUAAGUUAAUUAAUGAAUUUUGUGAAUUGGCUUCGAUUACUUCCAUUGUGAAAUAUUGCUGUAAUCCUCCAUCAUCACCAGGUUCACAAUUAACCAAAAUGGAUGUCAUUGAUUGAUUACUGAGGAAACAAUUAGCUGGAGGUUGAGGCGGUCCUGUGUUUUUUUAGGUGAACACCAUUACAAAGAAAUAAACAAAUAAACAUGAAUGGAUGAUACCAGGAAAUCAGAGGAGACGGAAUGGUGGAUCAAUGUGUUAACAGUGAUUAUGUGAUGGACCAAAAAAAUUAAACAGGAAAUUAUAGAUUGAAAUCCAAUCGAGUUAAUCAUUUUGAAAUGAAAAGUAAAUUCGGAAAUCCGUAGUGAAUUGUAUUAUGGAUGGUUGACAAGAGUCUUGAAACUGGUGACUACAAUCAUUCACAAUGGAUUGUUUUUUUAUGGGAAAAGCAAAAUAUGACGUGGAAACAAUGGUGAAUCUGGAUCCUGCCUGAAGCCAAUUCUUAUUAUAACAACACUCCAGCAACAUGAUUAACUGAAAAUAUUGAACAAUCAUUUGAAUUAACUAAACUAUUACAAAUGAUAAAGACAAGAUGUGAAUACAAAAUAAUGUUUAUCUUGUAAGAGUUAUUGAGAGAUUCAUUUCUUGUUUUAUUGUAAAUACAUUGUAUUGUAUUUUCCCGUGUUUUCACCACCAAUUUAAUAAUGUUUGAUUUCAAACUUAAUAUAUUUGUGCACUGAUUUGAGUAAAUCAAUUGUCGACGAUAGUCUUCAUUGUCAACAAUUUAUUUUUAAAGUUUUAUUGAGUGAAGGCAAUUGAGACAUUCAAAUGUUGCCCAAUAAACUCAUUUGAUCCGUCAA